UCGCGCGCCUGUCAUUUCCUCUAGUCAUCUUCUCUCUCUAGGGUUUCUCUCUCUCCUCUAUCCGCUCUCGCACCCACCGACGAUUUUCGGCUGCAUCACCCCCAUCGGCUUGCGCAUCUGGACGCUCAGCGGGGAAUCACGUGGGUUGAAGCGGAGAUCGUACUAAGUUGAGCUUUUCCUCCAGCACGCUCGUAUCAUUUUGAUUCCCAUGGCAUUUAAUCCAGGUUUUUUCGCUGUUUUUUGCUCUUGCUUUUUGGUGGAGGUCAUUGCCCCCGAGCAGCUGGAAUCCGGAGCUGGGAAGGAGUGCGGGAAGCGCAGAUCAGAUAGUUGAGCUCAUCCCCCCUCCCCGUGCAUCCACUUGAAUCUCUUCACAACUUGUCUCAGAUAGGUGUUUCUGCAAUUUGGUGGUGGAAAGACUUUUCAGUGCACGAAGAUUGUAUUUAUAGUGGAAGGAUUUCUGCUAGUUGAAAAAGUGCCACAGGUUCUAAGGAACAGGGCCUCCCCUACUAGGUUUGUCAAGCUAUAUAGGGUCAUGUCUGAAGAUCGGAAGAAGAUGAUUCGAGAUGUGCAUUUCGAUGGGCUGCUCAAGAUUGAAUGCGCCACCAUUCCAACAAAGUUUGCAAACUGGCUAAUGGUUGAGUGCUUCAAUCCAGACACUUCAGAGCUUGUUCUCUCUGGAAGGGGAAGGAUUUCAGUCACAGCACAAUCCGUUGCUGAUAUAUUGCAUUUGCCAAGCAGGGGUGCUGAAGUCAAAUAUGAGCUUGACGUGGACGCCAUCAAUUUUAUACACAACAAGUUUGGCAUUCUGCAAGGUUCAGCACCAAAGAUUGAAUAAAUAAUUAAAAGGAUCAAGAAUAACAAGGACGCAAACGAAGAUUUCCUAAGGUCCUGGCUGAUGAUCGCAGUGUCGAUUUUUCUGUACCCUCCCACCAGCUUGGGGAUAAGUCCUAGUCCCUCAUUAGUGGACGUCUCAAGAGUGAAGAAGUUGAAUUGGUGUCAGUUUGUGGUCGACCAGCUCAAGAUUAUCUAUGCAGAUUCUCUAGUUGUUCAAAAUGUACAAAUCCCUGCCACCAUGCCAAGGAUUGCUGCAUGGACAAGGAAGCUGUUGAACGAGGUCAUCAAGCUGGAUACGAAUCGUGAUGGUUCAUUUGGCAAGCUUA
Molecule: long non-coding RNA, 1160 nt
Organism: Panicum hallii
Lineage: Eukaryota; Viridiplantae; Streptophyta; Magnoliopsida; Poales; Poaceae
Exons: 4
Source: RefSeq, a predicted model, not a curated record